UGGGGAAUAUUGCACAAUGGAGGGAACUCUGAUGCAGCGACGCCGCGUGAACGAAGAAGGCUUUCGAGUCGUAAAGUUCUUUUAUAUGGGAAGAUAAUGACGGUACCAUAAGAAAAAGCCCCGGCUAACUACGUGCCAGCAGCCGCGGUAAUAAGUAGGGGGCUAGCGUUGUCCGGAAUCACUGGGAGUAAAGGGUUAGCAGGCGGAAAUGCAAGUCAGGUGUAAAAGGAAGUAGGUUAACUACUGUAAGCAUUUGAAACUGCACAUCUUGAUAAGAGUAGUGGUGAGUGAAAUUUGUGGUGUGGCGGUGAAGGGCGAAGAUAUUAUGAAGAAAACCGUGUGCUGUGGGAACAUUCUUGACACAUGCAGACGCUGUGGAACGAAAGCGUGGGUAGCAAACAGG
RNAcentral lists this ribosomal RNA (403 nucleotides) under Fusobacteriota bacterium. RNAcentral describes it as "Fusobacteria bacterium partial 16S ribosomal RNA". It matches the Rfam family "Bacterial small subunit ribosomal RNA", at positions 355 to 776 of the family's 1533-position model. Lineage: Bacteria; Fusobacteriati; Fusobacteriota. The record is from RNAcentral.